GUUCAUCUCUUCAAGGACAUGCGAUAAAAUUGGAAGAAUAAAGAGAGGAUUGGGAAGGCCCCUGCACAAGGAUGACACUCACCAAUCGAGAAAAGGUUUAUAUGUUG
Molecule: small nuclear RNA, 107 nt
Organism: Elaeis guineensis (African oil palm)
Lineage: Eukaryota; Viridiplantae; Streptophyta; Magnoliopsida; Arecales; Arecaceae
Source: RefSeq, a predicted model, not a curated record